GAUGAACGCUGGCGGUAUGCUUAACACAUGCAAGUCGAACGGACUCUUCGGAGUUAGUGGCGGACGGGUGAGUAACGCGUGAGAAUCUGGCUUUGGGUUCGGGACAACCACUGGAAACGGUGGUUAAUACCGGAUGUGCCGAGAGGUAAAAGAGAAAUUGCCUGAAGAUGAGCUCGCGUCUGAUUAGCUAGUUGGUGAGGUAAAGGCUCACCAAGGCAGCGAUCAGUAGCUGGUCUGAGAGGAUGACCAGCCACACUGGGACUGAGACACGGCCCAGACUCCUACGGGAGGCAGCAGUGGGGAAUUUUCCGCAAUGGGCGAAAGCCUGACGGAGCAAUACCGCGUGAGGGAAGAAGGCUCUUGGGUUGUAAACCUCUUUUCUUAGGGAAGAACAAAAUGACGGUACCUAAGGAAUCAGCAUCGGCUAACUCCGUG
Molecule: ribosomal RNA, 435 nt
Filed under: uncultured bacterium
Lineage: Bacteria
Description: partial 16S ribosomal RNA
Rfam family: Bacterial small subunit ribosomal RNA
Source: RNAcentral